RNAcentral lists this unclassified non-coding RNA (344 nucleotides) under soil metagenome. RNAcentral's name for it is "partial contains 5.8S ribosomal RNA, internal transcribed spacer 2, and large subunit ribosomal RNA". The stretch from base 1 to 120 matches the Rfam family "5.8S ribosomal RNA", at positions 35 to 154 of the family's 154-position model. The record is from RNAcentral.
GAUGAAGAACGCAGCGAAAUGCGAUAAGUAAUGUGAAUUGCAGAAUUCCGUGAAUCAUCGAAUUUUUGAACGCACAUUGCGCCCCCUGGUAUUCCGGGGGGCAUGCCUGUCCGAGCGUCAUUGCUGCCCUCAAGCACGGCUUGUGUGUUGGGCCUCCGUCCUCCUCCCGGGGGACGGGCCCGAAAGGCAGCGGCGGCACCGCGUCCGGUCCUCGAGCGUAUGGGGCUUCGUCACCCGCUCUUGUAGGCCCGGCCGGCGCUUGCCGACACAUCAAUCUUUUUUCCAGGUUGACCUCGGAUCAGGUAGGGAUACCCGCUGAACUUAAGCAUAUCAAUAAGCGAGGA